RNAcentral lists this transfer RNA (71 nucleotides) under Oreasteridae sp. C1. Its description in RNAcentral is "tRNA-Pro". Lineage: Eukaryota; Metazoa; Echinodermata; Asteroidea; Valvatida; Oreasteridae. The record is from RNAcentral. RNAcentral also lists the same sequence under 15 other names.
UCAGAAAAGUAAGAGUCUACACUUACUCCAAUAGCCCCCAAAACCACCGUUCUAAAAUAAACUAUUUUCUG